Molecule: ribosomal RNA, 433 nt
Filed under: uncultured bacterium
Lineage: Bacteria
Description: partial 16S ribosomal RNA
Rfam family: Bacterial small subunit ribosomal RNA
Source: RNAcentral
AACGAACGCUGGCGGCAUGCCUAACACAUGCAAGUCGAACGAGACCUUCGGGUCUAGUCGCGCACGGGUGCGUAACGCGUGGGAACCUGCCCUUAGGUUCGGAAUAACUCCCCGACAGGGGUGCUAAUACCGGAUAAUGUCUUCGGCCCAAAGAUUUAUCGCCUUUGGUUGGGCCCGCGUUGGAUUAGCUAGUUGGUAGGGUAAAAGCAUACUAAGGCGACGAUCCAUAGCUGGUCUGAGAGGAUGAUCAGCCACACUGGGACUGAGACACGGCCCAGACUCCUACGGGAGGCAGCAGUGGGGAAUAGUGGACAGUGGGCGAAAGGCUGAUCCAGCAAUGCCGCGUGAGUGAUGAAGGCCGUAGGGUUGUAAAGCUCUUUUAACCGGGAUGAUAAUGACAGUACCGGGAGAAUAAGCUCCGGCUAACUCCGUG